GACGAACGCUGGCGGCGUGCUUAACACAUGCAAGUCGAACGGAAAGGCCCUGCUUUUGUGGGGUGCUCGAGUGGCGAACGGGUGAGUAACACGUGAGUAACCUGCCCUUGACUUUGGGAUAACUUCAGGAAACUGGGGCUAAUACCGGAUAGGAGCUCCUGCUGCAUGGUGGGGGUUGGAAAGUUUCGGCGGUUGGGGAUGGACUCGCGGCUUAUCAGCUUGUUGGUGGGGUAGUGGCUUACCAAGGCUUUGACGGGUAGCCGGCCUGAGAGGGUGACCGGCCACAUUGGGACUGAGAUACGGCCAAGACUCCUACGGGAGGCAGAAGUGGGGAAUAUUGCAAAAUGGGCGGAAGCCUGAUGCAGCAACGCCGCGUGCGGGAUGACGGCCUUCGGGUUGUAAACCGCUUUCGCCUGUGACGAAGCGUGAGUGACGGUAAUGGGUAAAGAAGCACCGGCUAACUACGUG
Molecule: ribosomal RNA, 468 nt
Filed under: uncultured bacterium
Lineage: Bacteria
Description: partial 16S ribosomal RNA
Rfam family: Bacterial small subunit ribosomal RNA
Source: RNAcentral